UUGUGCAUGUGGGUCACAAAGUUUAUGUCAGAGAGAGAUUUGAAUGGUAUUUUCUCCACAAAAUUUAGAUUUUUCUUUUAGCAACAGAAAAAAAAUGACCUUGUUGAUGCUAUGUUAAAAAAUAUGCAGCAUACUGGUGGUAGCAGACUAAAACAAAGUAAAAAUUAAUAUUUCUCAAGGAAAUGUCCACAAAAGAAUAUCUCCCAGUACAUAUGACUAUGUCCUGCUAUUUGUACAGUAUAGUAACAGAUGUGGCAGUUGGUAGCUUUUGGUAGAUGUGGCAGUUGGUAGCUAUUGGUAGAUGUGGCAGUUGGUAGCUAUUGGUAGAUGUGGCAGUUGGUAGCUAUUGGUAGAUGUGGCAGUUGGUAGGUGGAGAAAAGAAGCAAAAAUGUUGCCAAAAUGAACAAGUUCGCAGGAUGAAAGCGCAGCUGCAGGGCUAUUUGUCACUUUUUCUUUUUUUUUUUUACUAAGGGACUGGUCGUACAACGUCUCUUUAGCAGAAUCAAUCCCUCUAUAAGGGACGGACAUGCCAAGUGACAUUGGCACAACAUAAUAGCUCCUGCCCGGCAAGUCAGCCUCCGUAUACCCCUCCACAUUCAUAUGGAUUCCCACAUCGGAAGUGAAUUUCGGAAUCUGGGGUGAAUAGGAUUCUGUGGGAACCCAGUUACGGACUGCGCUGUUCCUCAAACUCCUGAUCGCUGCUAUAGCUGGAGGACGGAAUCACAAACUCCUCCCACUCACUUGCACUCUCCUCAGAGUAUAGCAACUGCCUACUCCACAGUGUAACGCCUGCCGGACAUAUCACUUCUGAUAUGAAAUGCUAAAACGAAAACCCUAGAAUUAUGCUUAUCAAUCCCUACGCUUCCUCCCCCAACUGGCCUACCAGAUGGUGAGGAUAAAGGACCUUUGACAAUGUCAACAUUUAGUGACCAGUUACAUGUUGGGGGCAGAGCUCAGCUGUGCAGGAUAGAAGAGAUGGUGGAUGAAGGACCUUUUGUGAUGCUGUGUAGGAGGUGGAGCUGAGCUAGUGUGGAGGUCACAUGUGCAUUUAAUGCAGGGUGCUAUGCCCUCCCAGCAUGAAGGGGCGUGGCAUUAUCUGCUAUUUCUUUGCUCCCCUCUACACACAGGAGACAGGAGCAGAGAAGUCAGAGAGAAUCUCCGCCCACAGUCCGUCCUGGCCUGAAACUCCAGCCUUUGCAGAGAGGAAUAUAUUGCCCCGGUCUUGUGCCCAAUGGAGGCAGAACCAGUUCACCAAGCUUCCCUGCCUGUGUCCUGUAUGCUGUGCUAUGCCUGCCUUUCCUCUGUAUAUUUAUAAUUCUUUGUUCUCAGGAAUACAGGAAUUUAACAGAAGCAAUUAUAUGUUGGAACCCUUGAAAUUUUUCUAGAAAAUGAAGUAUUUCUCACAGAAAAGGAUUGCAGUAACACAUGUUUUGCUAUACACAUGUUUAUUCUCUUUGUGUGUAUUGGAA
Hyla sarda is the source of this 1469-nucleotide long non-coding RNA. RefSeq lists it as uncharacterized. The transcript has 5 exons. The record is from RefSeq and is a predicted model, not a curated record. Lineage: Eukaryota; Metazoa; Chordata; Amphibia; Anura; Hylidae.